RNAcentral lists this ribosomal RNA (253 nucleotides) under uncultured bacterium. RNAcentral's name for it is "partial 16S ribosomal RNA". It matches the Rfam family "Bacterial small subunit ribosomal RNA", at positions 524 to 776 of the family's 1533-position model. The record is from RNAcentral.
GACAGAGGUGCCGAGCGUUAGGCGGAAUCACUGGGCUUAAAGCGUGUGUAGGCGGAUGCCUAAGUACCUUGUGAAAUCCCACGGCUCAACCGUGGAACUGCUUGGUAUACUGGGUGUCUUGAGCCACUUAGGGGCAAGCGGAACAAAUGGUGGAGCGGUGAAAUGCGUAGAUAUCAUUUGGAACGCCAAUGGUGAAAACAGCUUGCUGGGAGUGUGCUGACGCUGAGACACGAAAGCCAGGGGAGCAAACAGG